Molecule: small RNA, 3226 nt
Filed under: Pongo abelii (Sumatran orangutan)
Lineage: Eukaryota; Metazoa; Chordata; Mammalia; Primates; Hominidae
Description: retained intron
Source: RNAcentral
CAUUCCUGACGACCCCUGCCGCCAUUUUCUUCUUGAUUUUGCCCAGUCAGAGCCUGCUCAGAACUUCUGUGGGCCAUAUUCAGAACUUUUCAAAGGAUUCAUACAGGCAUGUAGAAAACAGGCCCCAAAGACAGAUAUAGUUGCUGGUUCCACUAUUGAUCAAGCUGUGAACGCCACCUUUGCUGCUCUGGUGUAUCGCACUCCAGAUUUAUAUGAGAAGCUGCAAAAAUAUGUCAACAGUGGAGGCAAAAUAGCCCUGAGUGAAGAGUUUGCCCAGGUUUAUUCCUUGGCAGAUGGGAUUCGAAUAUGGAUGUUAGAGAUGAAGCAGAAGUCCCUGAUGAGCCUGGGGAAUGAAGCAGAAGAAAAACAUAGUUCAGAAGCUACUGAGGCGAACCCUGAGAGCCUGGCAAAAGAGUGUAUUGAGAAGAGUCUUCUAUUACUGAAAUUUCUGCCCACGGGUAUAAGUUCAAAAGAAAGCUGCGAAAAGUUGGAGACUGCCGAUGAAACCAAUCAUCUCCAUCCACUCGACAAGCGUCAGAGGACAAGCUCUGUGGUGGAAGAGCAUUUCCAAGCCUCAGUAUCUCCCACUGAAGCAGCACCCCCUGCCACAGGAGACCGGAGUCCUGGCCUGGACACCCAGCCAAAGCUACCGUCCAGCAGUGGCCUUCCUGCUGCAGACGUGUCCCCUGCCACAGCUGAAGAGCCCUUGUCACCUUCCACACCCACCCGCCGGCCUCCCUUCACCCGAGGGCGACUCCGGCUGCUCUCCUUUCGAUCCAUGGAGGAGGCCAGACUGGUGCCCACAGUGAAAGAGAAAUACCCUGUGCUGAAGGAUGUCAUGGACUUCAUUAAGGAUCAGUCGCUCUCGCACAGGAGUGUUGUGAAGGUUCUUUCCCUGAGGAAAGCCCAGGCCCAGAGCAUCCUGGAAGUCCUGAAGAUAACUCAGUACUGUGCAGAAUCCCUUGGGCAGCCCCACUGCUUCCAUCCACCUUUCAUACUUUUCCUGUUGGAGCUUCUGACCUGCCAGAAAGAUUUUACCAAUUAUUUUGGACACCUGGAAGGCUGUGGUGCUGAUCUACACAAAGAAAUUCGAGACACUUACUAUCAACUUGUUCUGUUUUUGGUCAAAGCAGUUAAAGGAUUUAGUAGCCUAAGUGACAGGUCCUUGCUCCCUGCCUUAUCUUGUGUUCAGACAGCCCUGCUUCAUCUUUUGGAUAUGGGCUGGGAACCCAGUGAUCUCGCCUUCUUUGUUGAUAUUCAGUUACCAGAUCUCCUCAUGAAAAUGUCACAGGAAAAUAUAAGUGUCCAUGACAGUGUGAUCAGCCAAUGGAGUGAAGAAGAUGAGCUUGCUGAUGCCAAGCAGAAUUCAGAAUGGAUGGAUGAGUGUCAGGAUGGCAUGUUUGAGGCCUGGUAUGAAAAAAUAGCCCAGGAAGAUCCAGAGAAGCAGAGGAAAAUGCACAUGUUUAUUGCUCGCUACUGUGACCUGUUAAAUGUGGACAUCUCUUGUGAUGGGUGUGAUGAGAUUGCCCCCUGGCAUCGAUACCGCUGUCUGCAGUGCAGUGACAUGGAUCUCUGCAAAACUUGCUUCCUAGGUGGGGUGAAGCCUGAGGGCCACGGAGACGACCAUGAAAUGGUCAACAUGGAGUUUACCUGUGACCACUGCCAGGGUUUGAUCAUAGGCCGGAGGAUGAAUUGCAAUGUUUGCGAUGACUUUGAUCUUUGCUAUGGAUGCUAUGCAGCGAAGAAAUAUUCCUAUGGCCAUUUGCCUACCCACAGCAUCACGGCCCACCCAAUGGUAACCAUUCGGAUCAGUGACCGGCAGAGGCUCAUCCAGCCAUAUAUCCAUAACUACUCCUGGCUGCUCUUUGCUGCCCUGGCUCUCUAUAGCGCCCACCUGGCCAGUGCAGAGGAUGUGGAUGGGGAGAAGCUGGACCCCCAGACCCGUAGCAGUGCCACCACCCUGCGGAGCCAGUGCAUGCAGCUCGUCGGGGACUGUCUGAUGAAGGCUCAUCAGGGAAAAGGCCUUAAAGCUCUAGCUCUGCUGGGUGUAUUGCCAGAUGGGGACUCGAGCCCAGAAGAUCAGGCCCUACCAGUCGCUGUGCCCACCCGAGCGUCAGAGGAGCAGCUAGAGAAGAAAGCUGUCCAGGGUGCUGAGCUGUCAGAAGCAGGCAAUGGAAAGAGAGCUGUUCAUGAGGAAGUCAGACCUGUUGAUUUCAAGCAGAGAAAUAAGGCAGAUAAAGGUGUAUCAUUAACGAAGGAUCCUUCAUGCCAGACCCAAAUUUCAGAUUCACCUGCAGAUGCUAGCCCACCUAUAGGACUUCCAGAUGCUGAAGAUUCGGAAGCUUCAUCUCAGAAGCCCAUAGAGGAAAAAGCAGUCACUCCAAGCCCUGAGCAAGUGUUUGCUGAGUGUUCCCAGAAGAGGAUUUUGGGAUUACUAGCAGCCAUGUUACCUCCCUUAAAGUCGGGCCCCACAGUUCCCCUGAUAGACCUGGAGCACGUCCUUCCACUCAUGUUUCAGGUUGUCAUCUCAAACGCAGGCCACCUGAAUGAAACCUACCAUCUCACCCUGGGUCUUCUCGGCCAGUUAAUUAUCCGUCUUUUGCCAGCAGAGGUAGACGCCGCAGUGAUCAAAGUCCUCUCAGCCAAACACAACCUGUUUGCUGCAGGGGACAGUUCCAUUGUGCCAGAUGGCUGGAAAACCACCCACCUGCUCUUUAGCCUGGGAGCUGUGUGUCUGGACAGGUAGCCUUGGUCCUCACUCCUCUAACCACCUGCCCUGUAUCCCACCUUGGUGUUUAUUUGUUUAAGUUGAAGGUCUGGCUGUUGAUUAAUUUCAGUGUGCUACAGUUCUGUUGUCUGAGAGUUUUGUGGAAAUACAAUUAGGUUCAUGAGCAAUGCUGUCAACCCACAUUAAAACUGUGCUUAACACCAACGUUAAAACAGCUGAGCAGUCUCAACGCUGGCUGCUGAUUCAACUCUCUAAUGAGGCAUAUUCUGUUUUUUACGAGCAGUAAGUGUGGGCCUUGAGGUUGAAGCAAAUAAAUGUAUUUUCGUUAUAAAAGUAACAUAACCACAACACCAAAUUUGGAAAACAGAAAUGAAGGAAUAAGCUGGGCACAGUGGCUCACAUCUGUAAUCCCAGCACUUUGGGAGGCUGAGGCGGGUGGAUCACGAGGUCAGGAGUUCGAGACCAGCCUGGCCAACAUAGUGAAAACCUGUCUCUACU